RNAcentral lists this ribosomal RNA (207 nucleotides) under uncultured bacterium. RNAcentral's name for it is "partial 16S ribosomal RNA". It matches the Rfam family "Bacterial small subunit ribosomal RNA", at positions 30 to 236 of the family's 1533-position model. The record is from RNAcentral.
AUUGAACGCUGGCGGCAAUGCUUAACACAUGCAAGUCGAACGGUAACAGGCCCUUCGGGUGCUGACGAGUGGCGGACGGGUGAGUAAUGCUUAGGAAUCUGCCUAGUAGGUGGGGGAUAACCCGGGGAAACUCGGGCUAAUACCGCAUACGCCCUACAGGGGAAAGCGGGGGACUUUCGGGCCUCGCGCUAUUAGAUGAGCCUAAGU